This 3831-nucleotide small RNA is filed under the name Pongo abelii (Sumatran orangutan). RNAcentral describes it as "retained intron". The record is from RNAcentral. Lineage: Eukaryota; Metazoa; Chordata; Mammalia; Primates; Hominidae.
UAGUUCGGCUCCGCCAUGCCGGCCGCCGGGAGUAACGAGCCGGACGGCGUCCUCAGCUAUCAGAGACCAGAUGAAGAAGCUGUGGUGGAUCAGGGUGGGACCAGUACAAUUCUCAACAUUCACUAUGAAAAAGAAGAGCUGGAAGGUCAUAGAACUCUAUAUGUGGGAGUUCGGAUGCCGCUUGGCCGGCAGAGCCAUCGGCAUCACCGCACUCAUGGCCAGAAGCACCGGAGACGAGGGCGGGGCAAAGGAGCCAGCCAGGGGGAGGAAGGCCUGGAAGCCCUGGCCCACGACACACCAUCUCAGCGUGUUCAGUUCAUUCUUGGCACCGAGGAAGAUGAAGAGCAUGUGCCUCAUGAGCUGUUUACAGAGCUGGAUGAGAUCUGUAUGAAAGAGGGAGAAGAUGCUGAGUGGAAGGAAACAGCCAGGUGGCUGAAGUUUGAAGAAGAUGUUGAAGAUGGGGGAGAACGCUGGAGCAAGCCUUAUGUGGCAACCCUUUCAUUGCACAGCCUGUUUGAGCUAAGGAGCUGCCUUAUUAAUGGAACAGUCCUUCUGGAUAUGCGUGCAAAUAGCAUAGAAGAAAUUUCAGACCUCAUCCUGGAUCAGCAAGAACUGUCCAGUGACCUGAAUGACAGCAUGAGGGUUAAAGUGCGGGAAGCCCUUCUCAAAAAGCAUCAUCAUCAGAAUGAAAAGAAGAGAAACAACCUCAUUCCCAUUGUUCGCUCCUUUGCUGAGGUUGGCAAGAAGCAGUCUGAUCCUCAUUCAAUGGAUAAACAUGGUCAAACCGUGUCUCCUCAGUCUGUUCCAACUACAAAUCUUGAAGUAAAAAAUGGAGUGAAUUGUGAACAUAGUCCUGUGGAUUUAAGCAAGGUAGACCUUCAUUUCAUGAAAAAAAUUCCUACUGGGGCUGAGGCCUCCAAUGUCCUGGUUGGAGAGGUGGAUAUUUUGGACCGUCCCAUUGUUGCCUUUGUGAGGCUGUCUCCAGCUGUUCUUCUCUCAGGCCUAACAGAAGUGCCAAUCCCAACAAGAUUUUUGUUUAUCUUAUUGGGUCCAGUAGGGAAAGGUCAGCAGUACCAUGAGAUUGGCAGAUCCAUGGCCACCAUCAUGACAGAUGAGAUUUUUCAUGACGUAGCAUAUAAGGCAAAAGAGCGAGAUGAUCUCCUGGCGGGGAUUGAUGAGUUCCUAGACCAGGUGACGGUGCUCCCUCCAGGAGAGUGGGAUCCCUCCAUUAGAAUUGAGCCACCCAAAAACGUCCCUUCCCAGGAGAAAAGGAAAAUGCCUGGAGUUCCAAAUGGAAAUGUUUGCCACAUAGAACAGGAACCACAUGGGGGUCACAGUGGGCCAGAACUUCAGCGCACUGGGCGGCUAUUUGGGGGCUUGGUGCUGGACAUCAAGCGGAAGGCCCCCUGGUACUGGAGUGACUACCGGGAUGCACUCAGCUUACAGUGUUUGGCCUCCUUUCUGUUCCUGUACUGUGCCUGCAUGUCACCUGUCAUCACCUUUGGGGGAUUGCUUGGAGAAGCCACUGAGGGACGCAUAAGUGCAAUUGAAUCCUUGUUUGGAGCCUCCAUGACUGGGAUUGCUUAUUCCUUGUUUGCGGGACAGGCUCUCACCAUCCUGGGAAGUACUGGACCAGUGCUUGUGUUUGAAAAGAUUUUGUUCAAAUUCUGCAAAGACUAUGCUCUUUCAUAUCUCUCCCUGCGAGCUUGUAUUGGACUGUGGACCGCUUUCCUGUGUAUUGUCCUUGUGGCAACUGAUGCCAGUUCACUUGUCUGCUACAUUACCCGUUUCACUGAAGAAGCAUUUGCCUCCCUAAUUUGCAUUAUUUUCAUCUACGAAGCAAUAGAAAAACUGAUUCACCUGGCAGAGACCUACCCCAUCCACAUGCACAGCCAGCUGGACCACCUUAGCCUCUAUUACUGCAGGUGUACUCUCCCAGAGAAUCCAAACAAUCACACCCUCCAGUACUGGAAGGACCACAACAUCGUGACAGCAGAAGUCCACUGGGCUAACCUGACUGUCAGUGAAUGCCAGGAGAUGCACGGAGAGUUCAUGGGAUCUGCAUGCGGCCAUCAUGGACCCUACACUCCUGAUGUCCUCUUUUGGUCCUGUAUUCUCUUUUUCACCACCUUCAUCCUUUCAAGCACCUUAAAGACGUUUAAGACGAGCCGUUAUUUCCCAACCAGAGUACGCUCCAUGGUGAGUGACUUUGCUGUUUUCCUCACUAUCUUCACAAUGGUGAUUAUUGAUUUUUUGAUUGGAGUCCCAUCACCAAAGCUUCAAGUUCCCAGUGUGUUCAAGCCAACAAGGGAUGAUCGUGGAUGGAUUAUUAAUCCCAUUGGCCCCAAUCCCUGGUGGACUGUGAUAGCUGCAAUUAUCCCAGCUCUUCUCUGUACUAUCUUGAUAUUCAUGGAUCAGCAGAUCACAGCCGUCAUUAUUAACAGAAAGGAACAUAAGCUCAAGAAAGGCUGUGGCUACCACCUGGACCUACUGAUGGUCGCCAUCAUGCUUGGUGUCUGCUCCAUCAUGGGCCUGCCCUGGUUUGUAGCUGCAACUGUCUUGUCCAUCACACAUGUGAACAGCCUCAAGCUAGAAUCUGAAUGCUCUGCUCCUGGAGAACAGCCCAAGUUCCUGGGCAUCCGAGAACAGAGAGUGACAGGCCUUAUGAUCUUUGUGCUGAUGGGCUGCUCAGUCUUCAUGACGGCUAUCUUAAAGUUUAUUCCAAUGCCGGUACUCUAUGGAGUUUUCCUCUACAUGGGAGUUUCUUCACUACAGGGAAUUCAGUUUUUUGAUCGUCUAAAGCUCUUUGGGAUGCCCGCAAAGCACCAGCCAGAUUUCAUCUACCUGCGGCAUGUGCCGCUGCGCAAAGUGCACCUCUUCACCCUCAUCCAGUUGACCUGUCUCGUCCUGCUCUGGGUCAUCAAGGCAUCUCCAGCUGCCAUUGUUUUCCCAAUGAUGGUUUUGGCCUUGGUCUUUGUCAGGAAAGUCAUGGAUCUCUGUUUCUCUAAGCGAGAGCUAAGCUGGUUAGAUGAUCUCAUGCCUGAAAGCAAAAAGAAGAAGUUGGAUGAUGCCAAAAAGAAGGCCAAGGAGGAAGAGGUCAUAGUCCUUGCACCAACUGUAUACCUGGGGGCCUCAAAUUACAGAACAUAGGAAGGGCCAUGUGAAAAGUCAGCAUGUCUGGAAUCCCGAGGGUUAUAUUUAGGAGCUGGGAAGAUUACCCUCAAAGAUGUUCUCAGCUAAGAAUGGAUUAGGGAUUAUUGCUUCUGUCUGUUCUUCAUUUUUGGGUUUGACAACCAGUUAUUUUUUCCUUUGUUUACAAUCUACUCACCAGGCUUAUACCUAGAAUGUGAACCUACAAUAUGCCCUUAUUAGCAGAUUCAAUGGCUCACAUUCUUUCAAAAGGUCUAAUUUGACAAAUACGUAAGACCCAUUAUUUCCUAGAAUGUUUGUAAUGUGUCUAAUUGCAAAUGGUGCUGUGGUUGGCACCAUGCAAAGAUAACUUGCAUAGGACUUUGUCUUUUUUCAUUUCCCUCAGUACUUGGCAUCUUGUCAUCUACACAAUGGACCCUCAAAAAAUGGCCUAUAUAUGCAAAGAAAGAAUGUGUAGCAAAAUGAAAAUACCAGACCAAGAAAUGAGUGAGCUCAGAAGUGUUUCUAAAUACAGUUAGUGCCUAAAAUAGUGUCCUUUGAAAAAACUUUUAAAAGACUUUUUUUAGGCCAGGCACAAUGGAUUAUCCCUGUAAUUCCAGGGCUUUGGGAGUUGAGGCUGGAGGAUUACUUGAGGCCAGGAGUUUGAGACUAGCCUAGGCAACAUAAUGAGACCCUGUCUCU